This 1842-nucleotide long non-coding RNA is filed under the name Salmo salar (Atlantic salmon). RNAcentral describes it as "lncRNA (ENSSSAG00000006963.2)". The record is from RNAcentral. Lineage: Eukaryota; Metazoa; Chordata; Actinopteri; Salmoniformes; Salmonidae.
GUUCGCAAUAACUUAUGCAUUGAUUGUUGUAGAAACAUCAAAACAAGUGUAAGUUAUUCUAAAAAGACCUGGCCUACUUUUACAACCUGUCACGACUUCCGCCGAGCUCGGUUCCUCUCCUUGUUCGGGCGGCGUUCGGCGGUCGACGUCACCGGUCUUCUAGCCAUCGCUGAUCCAUCUUUCAUUUUCUAUUGGUUUUGUCUUUAUUUUCUACACACCUGGUUUUCAUUAUCCAAUUCCAUGUUCAUGUCCAUGUUUGUUGUGCGUGAUUAUUUCUAUGUUCAGUUCGGUUCAUGAUGCCUGGUUUUUCCACGGGUGCUGUGUUCACCCGUGCGUAAUAUUUACCGUUGGUCUUUGGUCAAGUGUAUUUGUUUACCUUGUGCCUUUAUUUUUUGAGUAAAGUACGUUACUCACUCAUUCUGCUCUCCUGCGCCUGACUUCAUGCACCAGCUACACUCACCUUCUGACAGGACCUGCAUCAAAAGUCGUGUUGAUUGUCUAGUAAUAAUCAGGUUAUAUAAAAUUGUAAUUAAAUCUAUUAUCCUCAAUAGUUUUUUCAUGAAUUGUCAUAGAAACAUCAAACUAAAUCCAAAUUAGUCAAACCCUCAAUGGAUCUGACGCAAGACAUCACCGCCAUACAAGUUUCGGCUUUACCAAUUGUGUUACAGAAUUACCUGCGUUGGAAUUUAGCACACCAUCUCACAGUACUCUCUCAGAGACAAAAUAUGUAACUUGCCCUUCACACCUCUGGCCCUAACCAACCCGAUUGGUUGCUAGGGACCAGGUUGCCAAAUGCCUUAUCACACCGUCGGGUCAGCCAAUCACAGGCAGUAAUCUUGGGUUUCAGAUCCCCAAUUCCUGCGGCCCCUUCUCCGUCUUCUUCUAGCAGUUGCAGAGAGAGCGUCAAGCUCCUCUUCCUUGCCAAACACAACUGGACUCAUUCCCAUAUCUGUGGGAUGGUGUGCGUGUAUAAAGUGCUGUGUCUGUGCCUUCUUGCCCUGGUGUAUUCAUUUGGAACUUAUGAAGACAACACUGAGUGACUUGUUCCUGCCAAAAUAACUCCACAACCCUGAAGACCUCCACCUGGCUGCCACCACAACCCUGAAGACCUCCACCUGGCUGCCACCACAACCCUAAAGACCUCCACCUGGCUGCCACCACAACCCUGAAGACCUGGUUAGAGCGUUGGACUAGUAACCGAAAGGUUGCAAGAUUGAAUCCUGGAGCUGAGAAGGACCUUAGCCCUACGACCAUGCCUCAGGACUACCUGGCCUGAUGACUCCUUGCUGUCCCCAGUCCACCUGGCCGUGCUGCUGCUCCAGUUUCAACUGUUCUGCCUGCGGCUAUGGAACCCUGACCUGUUCACCGGACGUGCUACCUGUCCCAGACCUGCUGUUUUCAACACUCUAGAGACAGCAGGAGUGGUAGAGAUACUCUGAAUGAUCAGCUAUGAAAAGCCAACUGACAUUUACUCCUGAAGUGCUGACCUGUUGCACCCUCGACAACCACUGUGAUUAUUAUUAUUUGACCCUGCUGGUCAUCUAUGAACAUUUGAACAUCUUGGCCAUGUUCUGUUAUAAUCUCCACCCGGCACAGCCAGAAGAGGACUGGCCACCCCUCAUAGCCUGGUUCCUCUCUAGGUUUCUUCCUAGGUUCUGGCCUUUCUAGGGAGUUUUUCCUAGCCACCGUGCUUCUACACCUGCAUUGUUUGCUGUUUGGGGUUUUAGGCUGGGUUUUUGUACAGCACUUUGAGAUAUCAGCUGAUGUAAGAUGGGCUUUAUAAAUAAAUUUGAUUUGAUGUGAACCAUGCCUCGAACAAAAGAGAUCUCAGAAGACCUCAUC